Molecule: ribosomal RNA, 433 nt
Filed under: uncultured bacterium
Lineage: Bacteria
Description: partial 16S ribosomal RNA
Rfam family: Bacterial small subunit ribosomal RNA
Source: RNAcentral
AACGAACGCUGGCGGCAUGCCUAACACAUGCAAGUCGAACGAGACCUUCGGGUCUAGUGUCGCACGGGUGCGUAACGCGUGGGAACCUGCCCUUCGGUUCGGUAUACCUCCCCGUACUGGGUGCUAAUACCGGAUAAUGUCUUCUGACACAAGAUUUUGCGCCUUUGGCUGAGGACGCGUGAGGUUAGCUUGUUGGUUUGGUAAAAGGCUACCACGGCGCCGAUCCAUAGCUGGGCGGAGAGGAGGAUCAGCCACACUGGGACUGAGAGACGGCCCAGACGAAUACGGGAGGAAGCAGGGGGGAAUAUUGGAGAAUGGGCGAGAGCGGGAUCCAGCAAUGCGGCGUGAGAGAUGAAGGCCUUAGGGUUGUAGAGCUCUUUUAUCUGUGAGGAGAAUGACGGUAGCGGGAGAAUAAGCGCCGGCUAACUCCGUG